UGACCGCUGGCGGCGUGCCUAAUACAUGCAAGUCGAGCGAACGGACGAGAAGCUUGCUUCUCUGAUGUUAGCGGCGGACGGGUGAGUAACACGUGGAUAACCUACCUAUAAGACUGGGAUAACUUCGGGAAACCGGAGCUAAUACCGGAUGAUAUUUUGAACCGCAUGGUUCAAAAGUGAAAGACGAUCUUGCUGUCACUUAUAGAUGGAUCCGCGCUGCAUUAGCUAGUUGGUAAGGUAACGGCUUACCAAGGCAACGAUGCAUAGCCGACCUGAGAGGGUGAUCGGCCACACUGGAACUGAGACACGGUCCAGACUCCUACGGGAGGCAGCAGUAGGGAAUCUUCCGCAAUGGGCGAAAGCCUGACGGAGCAACGCCGCGUGAGUGAUGAAGGUCUUCGGAUCGUAAAACCCUGUUAUUAGGGAAGAACAUAUGUGUAAGUAACUGUGCACAUCUUGACGGUACCUAAUCAGAAAGCCACGGCUAACUACGUG
This 495-nucleotide ribosomal RNA is filed under the name uncultured bacterium. RNAcentral describes it as "partial 16S ribosomal RNA". It matches the Rfam family "Bacterial small subunit ribosomal RNA", at positions 30 to 507 of the family's 1533-position model. The record is from RNAcentral.